CGAAUUGUUUUCAACUAGCAAUUUUGUAGAUGUAGAAAUUGUCUCUGCUUUGUUAAAGUUUUUUCUACUAAUAACAAAGCUGUCAAUGAGAAUUUCAUAAAAAUGGCAGUAAUGUAAAGCAAUGUUGAGUAAUAUACUUUCUGUUCAACAAAAACUCUCAAAUGUGAAAUCUCAAGAGCCCUUACGUUCGAGAAAGAACUUAUAGUUCCUAGCCAUUUAUAAUACCCGCGGACCUUCACGCCAAUUAUCUUCGGCGUCUGCUAUGUAAAACAUAAACAAUUUAUUUCUGGAAGCAAAACAAUACACAAAAAUCUUUUAUGCGUUGGCAAUUUGUUCAAAACUAACUAAACUUGCCAUGAAAGUUAAACAAUAAA
Molecule: long non-coding RNA, 374 nt
Organism: Dalotia coriaria
Lineage: Eukaryota; Metazoa; Arthropoda; Insecta; Coleoptera; Staphylinidae
Exons: 2
Source: RefSeq, a predicted model, not a curated record